GUCCAGAAGCUGUACGGGUUCCCCUACAAGAUCCCUGCGGUGGUGGUGGAAAAGGACGCAGUGUUCAUUCCAGCAGGGUGGGAUAAUGAUAAGAAAAUAGGAAUAUUACAUGAAAAUUUUCAAACUUUGAAAAUAGAAGAUAAUUUUGAAGACAUCAUAACCAAACCUCCUGUCCGAAAGACGCUGGCACUGAAUCCAUUUCUACACACUUUGGAAACCACAACUUGGCAUGGAGAUCUUGAGCAGUUAGAGUAGAUGGAAGCUGUGGACUUCAGAGACUACAGCUCUUCCCAGAGCCACGAAAGCAUUACUGCAAGGAUUCUCUCCUUUCUACCAUUGAGCGUUACUGUGGAUCGUGGCCAUCGUCACUGGUCACCUGUAUUGGCCAUAGCUAUCUAAACGUUCUCAUUUUGCUUUAGUCUUGACUCAGGUUUUAUGACUAAUGUGUGCAUCAUGACUUUGUGUUAAGCUGUAUAUACAUAACGUUCAGUAGAUAAAUACAGAUAGAGCUGUUUCUGAAAGUGACAAAGAUGAGUAUUUACAUGUAAUCCUCCUCAGAGACUUAGCCCAGCACUUUAGGAAAGAAUGCUCCUGAUGUAGUCUGUACCAUGAAC
RNAcentral lists this long non-coding RNA (614 nucleotides) under Rattus norvegicus (Norway rat). Its description in RNAcentral is "long non-coding RNA NONRATT028118". The record is from RNAcentral. Lineage: Eukaryota; Metazoa; Chordata; Mammalia; Rodentia; Muridae.